CCCUUAGAUGUUCUGGGCCGCACGCGUGCUACACUGAGUGGAUCAGCGGGUCAGGUUGCGCGAAAGUGUUUCCUAAUCUUGAAAUCCGCUCGUGAUGGGGAUUGACGGUUGCAAUUUUCCGUCAUGAACGAGGAAUACCUUGUAAGCGCGGGUCAUCAUCCCGCGCUGAAUACGUCCCUGCCCUUUGUACACACCGCCCGUCGCUCCUACCGAUUGAAUGGUCCGGUGAGGCUUUGGGAUCUGAGCGGAAAGAGCGUUUCGCUGUUUCUGCUCGGAAAACUCAGUCGAACCUUAUCAUUUAGAGGAAGGAGAAGUCGUAACA
Molecule: ribosomal RNA, 322 nt
Filed under: uncultured eukaryote
Lineage: Eukaryota
Description: partial 18S ribosomal RNA
Rfam family: Eukaryotic small subunit ribosomal RNA
Source: RNAcentral